This is a non-coding RNA of Caenorhabditis elegans, 124 nucleotides long. NCBI's taxonomy places the organism in Eukaryota, Metazoa, Nematoda, Chromadorea, Rhabditida, Rhabditidae. The record is from Ensembl.
UAACAAGCAAACCAAAUCGAGGGCAACUCAUCAGAAGAGAGAUCGAUAAGGCAGGUGAUAACAACAACAAGCUAAAUGGGGGAACUAGAAAAAAAAGAAAAAUAAGAAACAGGCAUUUUGGAAA